GACGAACGCUGGCGGCGUGCUUAACACAUGCAAGUCGAACGGAAAGGCCCUGCUUUUGUGGGGUGCUCGAGUGGCGAACGGGUGAGUAACACGUGAGUAACCUGCCCUUGACUUUGGGAUAACUUCAGGAAACUGGGGCUAAUACCGGAUAGGAGCUCCUGCUGCAUGGUGGGGGUUGGAAAGUUUCGGCGGUUGGGGAUGGACUCGCGGCUUAUCAGCUUGUUGGUGGGGUAGUGGCUUACCAAGGCUUUGACGGGUAGCCGGCCUGAGAGGGUGACAGGCCACAUUGGGACUGAGAUACGGCCCAGACUCCUACGGGAGGCAGCAGUGGGGAAUAUUGCACAAUGGGCGGAAGCCUGAUGCAGCAAAGCCGCGUGCGGGAUGACGGCCUUCGGGUUGUAAACCGCUUUCGCCUGUGACGAAGCGUGAGUGACGGUAAUGGGUAAAGAAGCACCGGCUAACUACGUG
This 468-nucleotide ribosomal RNA is filed under the name uncultured bacterium. Its description in RNAcentral is "partial 16S ribosomal RNA". It matches the Rfam family "Bacterial small subunit ribosomal RNA", at positions 28 to 507 of the family's 1533-position model. The record is from RNAcentral.